RNAcentral lists this ribosomal RNA (500 nucleotides) under uncultured bacterium. RNAcentral's name for it is "partial 16S ribosomal RNA". It matches the Rfam family "Bacterial small subunit ribosomal RNA", at positions 30 to 523 of the family's 1533-position model. The record is from RNAcentral.
AUUGAACGCUGGCGGCAUGCCUUACACAUGCAAGUCGAACGGCAGCGCGGACUUCGGUCUGGCGGCGAGUGGCGAACGGGUGAGUAAUACAUCGGAACGUGCCCUGUUGUGGGGGAUAACUAGUCGAAAGAUUAGCUAAUACCGCAUACGACCUGAGGGUGAAAGCGGGGGACCGUAAGGCCUCGCGCAAUAGGAGCGGCCGAUGUCUGAUUAGCUAGUUGGUGGGGUAAAGGCCCACCAAGGCGACGAUCAGUAGCUGGUCUGAGAGGACGAUCAGCCACACUGGGACUGAGACACGGCCCAGACUCCUACGGGAGGCAGCAGUGGGGAAUUUUGGACAAUGGGCGAAAGCCUGAUCCAGCAAUGCCGCGUGUGUGAAGAAGGCCUUCGGGUUGUAAAGCACUUUUGUCCGGAAAGAAAUGGCUCUGGUUAAUACCUGGGGUCGAUGACGGUACCGGAAGAAUAAGGACCGGCUAACUACGUGCCAGCCGCCGCUGUAA